GACGAACGCUGGCGGCGGGCUUAACACAUGCAAGUCGAACGGAAAGGCCCUGCUUGUUUGGGGUGCUCGAUGGGGGAAGGGGUGAGGAACACUAGAGUAACCGGCCCUUGACUUUGGGAUAACUUCAGGAAACUGGGGCUAAUACCGGAUAGGAGCUCCUGCUGCAUGGGGGGGGUUGGAAAGUGUCGGCGGUUUGGGCUGGGCGCGCGGCUUAUCAGCUUGUUGGUGGGGGAGGGGCUUACCAAGGCUUUGACGGGUAGCCGGCCUGAGAGGGUAACCGGCCACAUUGGGACUGCGAUCCGGACGAGGCUCCUAGGGGAGGCAGCAGUGGGGAAUAUUGCACAAUGGGCGGAAGCCUGAUGCAGCAACGCCGCGUGCGGGAUGACGGCCUUCGGGUUGUAAACCGCUUUCGCCUGUCACGAAGCGUGAGUGACGGUAAUGGGUAAAGAAGCACCGGCUAACUACGU
This 467-nucleotide ribosomal RNA is filed under the name uncultured bacterium. RNAcentral describes it as "partial 16S ribosomal RNA". It matches the Rfam family "Bacterial small subunit ribosomal RNA", at positions 28 to 506 of the family's 1533-position model. The record is from RNAcentral.